Non-coding RNA from Pelobates cultripes (western spadefoot toad), 834 nucleotides. The record is from the annotation of a GenBank genome assembly. NCBI's taxonomy places the organism in Eukaryota, Metazoa, Chordata, Amphibia, Anura, Pelobatidae.
AAACACACCCUCUCUGGCCCCGCCCCCUUCUUGGGGGGCCGCUCUAAUUGAAAAAUGCCCGGGCCUAAUUUUUUUCCCAGUCCGGCCCUGUAUAUGAGUAACUAACUGUCUGCUGCUAUCCGAUAUUUUACUGAUAUAGACCAAUAUUGGUUACAUUGUAUCUACAACUUGACACUUUAUUGCUGCUGUUAUUUUCACUAUGUGGGAUGUGAUAUCUUUGCACUACAAGAACUUUGUCUGCCAAAGACUUUAUUGGACGGACUCGUUAUUUCUAUUCGUCUUUCCAUUUUUUUGGAUUCUAUUGGACUAUAAAGGUGUCUGGACUAUCUACUUAUAAAUUUGUAGCCAUUGUGUUAAGAAUAAAACCUUAAAGUUUGGAUGUAUUAUUUCCAGUAUAGUAAGACUAUUCAUUGUUUGUCCUACAGACUUGAAGGUUGAUUUGAAACACAAAAAAACCAAACGCUUUAAGUGAGCCCGAGAUGGGUGGAUGACUAAGCAGGCAAGGACUAUAGUAAUUUUACAGCCGUUUAUACAAACUUUAAAAUAAAACACUUGUCAAACUAACACAUUUACUACUUGCUUUUCAAAAUGUUUCUGAUUUUUUUUAUGUCCCUUCAAAUUUCUUGGCUGUGAUAUGAGGGAUAUUCAUAGAAACUGCAUGUCAAACGUCUCACCGGAUUGGAGAAUAGCUGCAUCCCAGUAAAACGUUAACACGCUGUGCUCGGGUGCGGAUUCUCUGAUCAGGGCACUGAUUGGACAGCUAGGGCACUCGGUAACAAGCUUUCCAGGGAUAUAAUAUAUAUUGUGUCAGGGUGCAGUCCAGCAAAAGGGGGU